CCCUAUCUUUAGCCAUCUUCACUCCACAAUCCACAUACAAUUUCUUAGUCAUCUUCCCUUCUUCUCUCUCACACAGACUACCUUCAAUGGAGUCUCUUUCCCUCUUUCUAUCUUCCUCAACUCCAAUCUUCAAACCCCACAAAUCUAUACCUAAACCCACUCCAAAUUCACUCCAAAUUCCAAUUCUUUCAUCCUCUAACUCCCAUAAACAUCAAAUUUCAACCUUUUUACAUUCUCUCUCCUCAAAAACCUCCCUAAAACCCCAUCUCUCUCUUCCCAUUUUACUGGGUUGUUUUCUCCCUUCAUCUUCUUCUUUUGCAUCCGAAAUUGCAGACUCAUCUGAGCAAGUUUCUACCAGAAUUAACCUUGAAUCAAUUCUAGUUUCAAUCGAUGAUUUUUUUAACAAAUACCCAUAUUUUGUUGCUGGGGUUACUUUCAUUUGGCUCAUAAUUCUUCCUUUAGCUGAAGAAUACUUGCAAAAAUACAAGUAUGUAUCUGCUCUUACUGCUUUUCGCAAAUUGCGUGAUGAUAAUUGUGUUCAAUUGUUGGAUAUAAGGGAUGAGAAGAGUAAAGGGUAUCUUGGUUCACCUAAUUUGAGGAUGUUUAGCAAGAAUGUGGUUCAAGUUCCUUUUAAUCGAAGUGAUGAAGAUGAGUUUUUGAGAAAAGUGUUGGAAAGUUUUAAAGAUCCUAACAACAUUAGUCUUUGCAUUGUGGACAAUUUUGAUGGUAAUUCAAUCAAAGUGGCAGAAUUAUUAGUGAAGAAUGGCUUCAAAGAAGCUUUUGCAAUCAAGGGUGGUAUCAGUGGCAAAAACGGCUGGAGGGAGAUUCAACAGGAAUAUUUUCCACCAUCUGUACACGUGUAUGCUAAAAAAAAGGUCAAGAAAUCACAACGUGAAAGCAAUGGUGCUGCCAAUCAACCUGAUACAGAUCAAGUUCAAGCCGCCACUUCUGAUAAGUGACACGGGAGGACAAAUUUUUGCCAAUUAUCUUGGCAUGGCUUUCCUCUCAAGACCUGCAGAUUUACAUUUUCAGGUGAUCCUUACUUGCUGAAACUGGAGUAGGGCUUUGAGAGUGAUACCUCAAUUGCGAUUGUUGGAGUAUGGCUGAGUGUACGUGGGCGAAUCCUGAGCAAAGCCAUUGUUUCCCAUUCUAUGAAUAGCUGCUUGAUUUUGAUUGUUUUAUCUCAGUUUUUUAUGGGAAAAACAAGGAAUGCUAUGUAAUAUUGUAUACUAUAGUAACUAUACUGAGGAGCUUCUAUUGUAUGCGAUAUCGUAUCUAAUUCUAAAGCAUUGUACAAAGUUGGAUGACCACUUAUCUAAAUGAUCAUCUUGGACCUA
Molecule: RNA transcript, 1337 nt
Organism: Beta vulgaris subsp. vulgaris (sugar beet)
Lineage: Eukaryota; Viridiplantae; Streptophyta; Magnoliopsida; Caryophyllales; Amaranthaceae
Gene name: rhodanese-like domain-containing protein 4A, chloroplastic
Exons: 5
Source: RefSeq, a predicted model, not a curated record